RNAcentral lists this unclassified non-coding RNA (352 nucleotides) under soil metagenome. RNAcentral's name for it is "partial contains 5.8S ribosomal RNA, internal transcribed spacer 2, and large subunit ribosomal RNA". The stretch from base 1 to 120 matches the Rfam family "5.8S ribosomal RNA", at positions 35 to 154 of the family's 154-position model. The record is from RNAcentral.
GAUGAAGAACGCAGCGAAAUGCGAUAAGUAAUGUGAAUUGCAGAAUUCAGUGAAUCAUCGAAUCUUUGAACGCACAUUGCGCCCGCCAGUAUUCUGGCGGGCAUGCCUGUUCGAGCGUCAUUACAACCCUCAGGCCCCCGGGCCUGGCGUUGGGGAUCGGCGGAGCCCCUCGUGGGCACACGCCGUCCCCCAAAUGCAGUGGCGGUCCCGCCGCAGCUUCCAUCGCGUAGUAGCUAACACCUCGCGACUGGAGAGCGGCGCGGCCACGCCGUAAAACACCCAACUCUUCUGAAGUUGACCUCGAAUCAGGUAGGAAUACCCGCUGAACUUAAGCAUAUCAAUAAGCGGAGGA